Molecule: long non-coding RNA, 3192 nt
Organism: Cottoperca gobio
Lineage: Eukaryota; Metazoa; Chordata; Actinopteri; Perciformes; Bovichtidae
Source: Ensembl
AUGAUGGUCCAGAUUUUAGAGGACCGGGACCUGAAAGGAGGAAUCCAGCUAUGGACGGUCCUGGGCCUGAUAGGAGAGGACCUGGAGUUCCAGAUUUCAGGGGACCAGGGCCUCCAAGCAGAGGCUUAUCUAUGGAGGGUCCUGGGCCUGACAGGAGAGGUCAUGAUGGUCCUAGAAUUUAGAGGACCAAGACCUGAAAGGAGGAAUCCAGCUAUGGAGGGUCCUGGGCCUGACAGGAGAGGACCUGGAGGUCCAGAUUUCAGAGGACCAAGGCAUGAAAGAAGAAGUUUAUCUAUCGAGCGUCCUGGGCCUGACAGGAGAGGACCUGGAGGUCCAGAUUUCAGGAGACCAGGUCCUGAAAGCAGAGGCUUGUCUAUGGAGGGUCCUGGGCCUGACAGGAGACGACCUAGAGGUCCAGAUUUCAGAGGACCUGGGCCUGAGAGAAGAAGUUUAUCUAUGGAGCGUCCUGGGCCUGACAGUAGAGGAUCUGGAUGUCCAGAUAUCAGAGGACCAGGACAUGAAAGGAGAGGUCCAUCUAUGGAGGCUCUAGGACCUGACAGAAGAGGACCAGUAGGUCCAGUCUUUAGUGGGCCAGGACAUGAAAGGAGAGGUCACAUUAUGGACAGUCAAGAGCCUGACAAUAGAGGACCAGGAGGUCCAGAUUUCCAUGGUACAGAGACUGAAAGGAGAGGUCUAGCCAUGGAUGGACUAGGGCCUGACGGGAGAGGUCCAGGAGAUCAAAACACUGAUGGACUGGGUACCAACAGGAGAGGUCGAUAUGUGAGGGGUCCUGGCCCUGACAUCCCUGGACUUAGGCCUGUAAGAACUGCUCCAGGUUUAGAAGGUCCAGCGCCUCAAAGCAGAGGACAGGGAGGACUUCACUUCAGGGGUCCUGGGCCAGAAAGUGGACAGCCAAAUAUUGAGGGCCCAGGGCAUGAGAGGAGAGGUCCAGACAUCAGGGGACCAAGGCUGGAACAACCAGAUUCCGGUAUUGAGGGUCCAGGGCCCAACAGGAGAGUGUCAGGAGGUCCAGACAUGAGACCAGGGCAUUCCGAUCCAAACAAAGAGGGCCCAGGGCCUGACAAAAGAGGUCCAGAAGGUCCACAUUUCAGAAGGCCUGGACCAGAAAAAAGACUUCCAGAGAUGGAGGGAACGGGAAUCAGCAGGAGCUUUCCAGGAGGCCCACAGUUCAGCGGCCAUGAGCUACAAAGAAGACCUCCAGAUAUAGAUAUAUCGGAUAGGAGAGGUCCACACUUCAGAGGAGUGAGGCCUGAAAGAACUGUUAUGGAGGGUCCAGGGCCGAAUAGGAAAGGAGUUCCAGAUUUUAGAGGGCCAGGUUGUGAACCUGGCAGACAAGAACCAGGAGACUCAGGCUUCCAGGAGCCUGGGCCUGAGCGGAGAUGUCGAGAUUUAGAGGGCCCAGGACCAGAUUGGAGAAAAUUAGGUUAUUCAGACUUUAGAGACCCUGGCAUCAGGCAGAAAGUUCCAAAUAAAGGCCUAAGACAAAGAAGAGAUGGCUGGGGAGAGGCUGACCUUGGAGGGUCAGAACCUAUCCAAGAGAGCCCAGAUAUAGAGUGCCCAGGUCCUAAUAGAGGAGGUCGAAACUUGAGAGGUUCAAGGCCUAUGAGGGGAAAUAUUAGAGGACCAGGGCCAGAUAUGAGCAGUCUAAAUCGGGGAGACAGAUGGAAAGGGCCAGACACAGUGGAACAAUGGUCAGAUGAAAGAGGGCCCAAUAUGGAGGAUGUAGGAAAUGAAGGAGAAUGUUCAGGAGAUGAUUGGAAAAGAUAUGACAACAGGGGUCCGAUCCAAGAAGGUCCAGGUGAGCAUAUUCAAGAACUUACUAGGCAAGAUCCUUGUAGGGAAUGGAGAUGCCCUGAAAGUAGGGGGCCAAGGCCCAUACAGGAAAGACAUAAUAUGCCAUUUCCAAGGCCAGUUCCAGGAGAUGAUUGGAAUGGUCCUGGUUGCAGAGGUCCAGGGCCUGUCCAAGGUCACCCAGAUAUGAUAUGCCCAGGGCCUGGUAGGGGAGGACCUGGAAAUGGAUUGAGAGAGCCUGGUAGAGGGUGUGCUGGGCCAAACAGAAGGAGGCCUGGGCCAUUUUUCAGUAGGGAAAGAGAUCCAGGCAAUCGAGGACAAGGCCAUGAUAGAAGAGGUCCAGGCAUGAGAGAACCAGGAUCAAAUAUGAGAGGGGGUCCAGAUAUGGGGAAUGACUGGAGGCAGCCAGACUUCAGUGGUAAUUUGAGAGGGCCAAACAUGGAAGGAGCUCAAAACUUAUUGAAUUCAGGAUUUGAAAUGGAAGGUAUUGAUGGUCCAGAUUUAAGACGUCCAGGGCCUGAAAACAGAAAUUUAAACAUUGAAGGUCCAGGGACUGAUGGGAGAUUUUCAGAUUGUGGGGAACUAGGAUCUGAAACGCAAUGUAUAGACAUGGAAAACCCUGGAACAGGUAGACAAGGAUUUCAGCAUGAUUUUAGGAGGGAAAGGAGAGCUCCGGACAUGAGAAGACUAGGGCCUGGUAAAACGGAUACUAGGGGGCCUCGAAGUUCAGAUAUAAGACAUGGGCCUGGGAGGUGGGAUACAAACACUGAGCACCCUGAAUCUGAUAGAAGAGGUCCAGACAUGAUGGGCCCAGCUUUAAAUUCAAGGGGACCUGAACCACCCAUGAAGGAUGACAUGCAAGGGUCAGAUAUAAGGGGCACACGGUGUUAUAGCAGAGGGCCAGACAUGACAGCAUCACCUCAUUUCAAUAGUCCUCACCCUAGUGAUCCACAUUCUGCACCAUACAAAGGACCCCUAGGUCCAGCUCAAAUUAGUGGAGGAAAGUUAUACCCCGGUUUUGACAAUCUACAAAAUCAGCAAGCAGUAAAGCCCCAGUCACAGAGAGUUGCCUUACUUCCCACUCCAACAGGUCUCAUACGCUUCCCAAAUUGUAUGACCAACAAUCCUGAUGUCUUUAGCCCGAAACGAAAACAAAUGGGUCACCGAACUGACAGGGAGUGGAGUAGAGGUAGACCUGUGACUCAAGAAAAGGAGUUGGUUAAAGGGCAAAGCCAGGAGCAGGAGAAAAGUCCUACUGGUAAAAUAAGCACAUCUGAAGAUGCGAGCACAGAGGGAAGAGAAGUCAAACUUGAAGUUGGGAAUGAAUGUGAUAAACAGGAUAAGUGUGUAGAAACUAAAAGCAAGUUAGACACAGACUAA